This 467-nucleotide ribosomal RNA is filed under the name uncultured bacterium. Its description in RNAcentral is "partial 16S ribosomal RNA". It matches the Rfam family "Bacterial small subunit ribosomal RNA", at positions 28 to 507 of the family's 1533-position model. The record is from RNAcentral.
GAUGAACGCUGGCGGCGUGCUUAACACAUGCAAGUCGAACGAUGAAGCCCAGCUUGCUGGGUGGAUUAGUGGCGAACUGUUGAGUAACACGUGAGCAACCUGCCCCUGACUCUGGGAUAAGCGCUGGAAACGGCGUCUAAUACUGGAUAUGUCCCGUCACCGCAUGGUGUGCGGGUGGAAAGAUUUUUCGGUUGGGGAUGGGCUCGCGGCCUAUCAGCUUGUUGGUGAGGUAAUGGCUCACCAAGGCGUCGACGGGUAGCCGGCCUGAGAGGGUGACCGGCCACACUGGGACUGAGAAACGGCCCAGAAUCCUACGGGAGGCAGCAGUGGGGAAUAUUGCACAAUGGGCGGAAGCCUGAUGCAGCAACGCCGCGUGAGGGAUGACGGCCUUCGGGUUGUAAACCUCUUUUAGCAGGGAAGAAGCGAAAGUGACGGUACCUGCAGAAAAAGCACCGGCUAACUACGUG